This 401-nucleotide ribosomal RNA is filed under the name uncultured bacterium. RNAcentral describes it as "bacterial SSU rRNA". It matches the Rfam family "Bacterial small subunit ribosomal RNA", at positions 28 to 426 of the family's 1533-position model. The record is from RNAcentral.
GAUGAACGCUAGCGGCAGGCUUAACACAUGCAAGUCGAGGGGUAGAAGGUAGCUUGCUCCUUUGAGACCGGCGCACGGGUGCGUAACGCGUAUGCAAUCUACCUUUUGCAGAGGGAUAGCCCAGAGAAAUUUGGAUUAAUACCUCAUAGUAUGUGAGGAUGGCAUCAUUUUCACAUUAAAGUCACAACGGCAAAAGAUGAGCAUGCGUCCAAUUAGUUAGUGGUGAGGUAAUGGCUCACCAAGACGAUGAUUGGUAGGGGAUCUGAGAGGAUAAUCCCCCANACUGGCACUGAGAUACGGGUCCAGACUCCUACGGGGAGGCAGCAGUAGGGAAUAUUGGGCAAUGGUACGGAAGUCUGACCCAGCCAUGCCGCGUGCAGGAUGAAGGCGUUAUGCGUUGU